This is a long non-coding RNA of Tachysurus vachellii, 773 nucleotides long. RefSeq lists it as uncharacterized. The record is from RefSeq and is a predicted model, not a curated record. The transcript is spliced from 2 exons. NCBI's taxonomy places the organism in Eukaryota, Metazoa, Chordata, Actinopteri, Siluriformes, Bagridae.
AGGAUCUGGAGGAUAUAUUUCAAAGCCUCGGCUUUAAGCCAGAAGACAAGAUCCCCUUUCCUUUGCUAGCGCAGCAGUCUGUUCUUCAAGAGUUGAUGGACUCAUCGCAGUACCUGUUGGCAGACUUUUCCAGAAUUUUGGAGAUCCAGCAGAGUUCUUCAGUGGAACAUCCAGCAAAUGAAAUAACAUCUAACACAUCACCAGGAGCUGAGUAACUGUGGAGCAAAGUACAGAAAAUGAUUCCACUCUUUUAAAUUCAGUAGUUUUGAGAGUUAUUCAUUAUUAGCAUGAAAGAUAUUAGUUAUUAGCAGUUAUCUUGCUAAUAUGCAUUAAAUUUUCACAGUGCAGAGAAUCUUCAUUUCCUCUUAUACUGUACUAUUUUUUUAAAGUUUUUAUGUGAUGUAACAGCAGCCGAGCCUCCUUCUACAUCGAGUUCUCCAGCACCACAUUAUUUCUGGCUCUGUGUAGAUUUAAAGCACUGACUUUAGCUACAAAGCAAAACCACAGCCCACAUCCCUAAAAGAAGUUCCCAACAUGCACAUUGACGGCUUCUACUCUGAACUGUGUUCAUCACCUACUGCUCAACCGGUCAUUUCCUGCUUCACUAACUCAUCUCUAACAGGGUUCUAGAGCACUUUUGUGAUUAGACUCUGAGUGAAUUAGCAUUAGGUUAAGUUUUUGAAAACCAUGAAGUGCUUCUGCUGAUGCAGUAAAUGUAAUUACACACUUGCUAGAAUCAUACUGCUUUGCAUUAAUAAAUAGUUUAUAGACUG